RNA transcript from Dendrobium catenatum, 2354 nucleotides. It is a transcript of the gene named lon protease homolog 1, mitochondrial-like, with no coding region annotated. NCBI's taxonomy places the organism in Eukaryota, Viridiplantae, Streptophyta, Magnoliopsida, Asparagales, Orchidaceae. The transcript has 3 exons. The record is from RefSeq and is a predicted model, not a curated record.
CUUAGGGAAACAGAGGAGAAGGCGUCGGCUUGUUGGGGUUCGGGUAGAGGGGAAGAUCGGUUGAGGGAUUUUGGCUCCAGUGAACAGGAAAAGGAAGAGCCUAUAGGGAUUCGGCCAGUGCUGCUUUGCCUUUUGCGGAUCGGGACUUGGGGAUGUCAAUCGGAAGAGCAUCUUGGAGACAAGGGGAUCGGGUAGAUGGCUGCAUGGUAAUGUGGAAGCUCUCUCUCUCUCUCUCUGCGGCUCAAAGAGAUCGGGAUCGGGAGGUGCAGUCGGGCCUGGGGUCGGAGUGAGGCUUGACUUCACCGUGGGAGAAGAAGAUGUAAAGUGGAGUGGAGGUUUCGGCUGGGUUCAGUUUCGGGAGGAAUCGAAGGGCUUGCGGGAUUUUGGGAAGGAGGAGAGGAGAUGAGGUCGUGGGAUUUGCGAAUGGCCCCCAGAAGGCUCCAUUUCAUUCGCAUUUUAAAGACGAGGAAGGGCCUCCUCUAGCGGGCUCUGAGCGUGAAUUGUGGAGAAGCGACGUAAACGGCGCCGAGCUACAGGAUUUUGCGGGAUUUCUGCAUGAAUUCGGCUGGAUUUCAGAUAGCUCUAUAAUUAGUUCGUAAGGCAAUUUCAAUUGAGACAUCUGUCGCUGCCAGCAUUCAGCCUUAUUCCAAAAAAAAUAGCUAAUCCUGAACAAAUUGGUGAAACUUGGGAGGAGGUUGAAAUGGUAGACGUUGAUCUAUCCCCUGACCAAACUACAAGAGUUGGCGAACAAAUUAACUCAAAGGUUUGUUUUUCCUUACUUACAGAGCAAUAAACUCUAGAUAAUUUGUUCAAGAACUGCUGUUAUUGAGCUUGAAGACUUCCCGUUGCCUUUUUGCUUGAGAAUUUGAAGUUAUCAUUUCUUGUGGUCUGCAUAUUGUGCCCGUGAUAUUAUUUGUGCAUCCUUUGGAGCUAUUAUCUUCAUACAUUUAUUUUUAAUGCUUAGAAUAGCCUAUGGGUGUAAUUUGUUUAGGUUAUGACUUGACAUCAUGUUGAUGUUUUUAAUAAUUUAGUGAUAAUUUACAUUUUAAAUAAUAAGCAUCUUAGUUAUUUGUACCUUGCUAGAUGAGUUUUUCCUACUGUUUCCAUGCUCAGUAGCUAUGAGAUUUGGUGAUGAUAUCAUGAACGAUAUGUUAAAUCUGACCAUUCAUUUCUUAGAAGACUAAAAUAGAAGCAUCCCUUCAUAAGUUGGGCAUCAACUUAUGGAUGGAUUAGAAGAUUGAAUCAGUUAAAUCCAAUCGUCCUAUCUUUUGAUCAAGUCUGCUGGAGGUAGUGAUUCGUAGAUCACGUCAUUGAGAUUGAAUAGGAUAUCAUCAAGAGUACAAAAUCACGAUUGUAUUAUUAACCAAACAUCAUACGUGAGAAAUUAAGGUCCCAUAAGUUGGAUUGUCGAAUUAAAGUUUAUUUGUUUCUAAUGUUAAAUUAAGGAUUAAGAUGUUUCAGCUGGAAUUAUUUUGUAGAUAGAACAUAUCUAAUUUAUUAUAAUAAAUGGGGAUUCUUUUAUGUUUUUAAUGGAGUUUUUUAAGUAGUGGAUUAGAUGUCAUCUCUCGAUUUUCCCAAAGUAUUGAAACUGUAGUUGCAUUCUCUUUUACAAGAACCAUUGUAGUUGUUGCUCCUGCCUUGCUUGCUUACUGUCGCUGUUGCCUUUUUGCUCUGUUGUUGCUUGUGUUUUCUAUGGUAGUUUUUUUUUUUGCUAUUCUCUCUUUUUCUGUUGACUCGCUCUCUGUGCUGACUAUCAUCUACUCGAACAGUUACUAUUUGCAACUUCUCUAAAAUAAAAAACAACCUUUAUUUUGUUUUUUGCAAUAGUAAAAAAUUUGGCACAACAGCUUAUCUAAUGUGGGAAACAGGUCAAUUUACGAAUUAGUAUGAAAUACUAAUGCUGACAUGGGGCAAAGACACCACUACAUACUCUAAAAUCUUGCCAAACAUAUGAAUGACACAUCUAGGACAAAUGAUUAUCUUGAUGCACAUGCAUAAACCCAAGCUUUCAUUGGCGCAUAAAUAUAAACUUAUACUUUAUAGUCAGCGCUAACAUUUUUUGAUAUUAAAUACACAUAUAUGGUAAUAGCAUAUACCUUUAGUUAUUUGAGAUGCCUAUAUAUUGGUCAUUCAAGUUCAAUUUUACCAAUUUUGCAACAACCGUCGUCAUUGGCCUUAUCCUAACUAUUUGGGUUUGAUUUUGUGAAUCCCAUCUAUUUUAAUUCCUAUUAAUACAUAAUGUCUUAGCUUUAUUUAUUGUAAGCAUAUGUUCACAACUUUAGGACUUAUUUCUUUUUUUGCGACUUAUUUUUCUUCCUAAUUAUUUGACAGUAAUCUCACCCACGCACCUAAUU